Non-coding RNA from Tetraodon nigroviridis (spotted green pufferfish), 69 nucleotides. The record is from Rfam. NCBI's taxonomy places the organism in Eukaryota, Metazoa, Chordata, Actinopteri, Tetraodontiformes, Tetraodontidae.
AUAGGCGUCUUACCAGACAUGGUUAGAUGUAAUUAUUGUUGUCUAAUACUGUCUGGUAAUGCCGUCCAU